AUUAAUCUAAUAUCAUAUUCUGUUAACAUAACACCCUUCUUAUUGAAAACCCAGGUUGUUAGGUCCCAUCAUUAAAAGAGCAUUGUCUCUUCCACAGUAAGGUAUGUUUUAUUUGUCGAAAUCUAGCAACUGUACAUAGUGGCCGCCAAAUUAAACUAGUGCUAUUUUGAUGACUAUUGUUUGCCUAUGUUAUUGUCGAAUGAUUUUAUAAUGCAGAAAAUAUAUAAAUUUUGGCCGGGGUCAAACGCUCAUAACAUGUGAAAAAAAUAAAAAAAUGCUAUGUAGGAUUUUCAGUCUCCACGCAUGCGCGCGCAUGUGCAGAUCCUUAAGCUCGUACUCAAUUUUUUUCACAUGCUACGGACUGUCGGCUUCGGACUUAAUGUAAAAAAUCAAAUGAAAUCUAUAUUGUAUCAAUAGAAAUAAUGUGAAGUAGGUACAUAAUAUAGUAAUUAUUUCCCAACAAAUCUAUAAUUGAUACUCAAAAUAUUGAACGUGAGUUGAUUUUAAAUUCACCAAAUAGUUCAUUCAAUUCUUCUACCUAUACUCUUAUACAUAGUUAUACAUAGUAUGUUAAAUUGUAUAUAAUCUUAUUCCAAAUAAAUAAGACUUUAUUGAAAACUGCUGGUAAACAGGGACUUUUUAGUCCUAUGCCGUGUUUCGGAAACAAAUUCCACUCUAAAAGACGAGAGCAAGAAAAGAAAAUUGCAAAAUUAUUACUUAUAUUUUUACUCAAUGAAAAUUAAAAGGCAAAAACAAAAUUUAACAAGACUUAAUAAAUAUUAUUUUAAAACAAUUUUUAAUUUUUGCUUCAAAUCCAACAUAAAAAUAUGUUGUUUUUUCCUUUCUUUUUUUAAAGAAAAAAAAAGAAAAGAAAUUUAAAUGGAAUGUGUAACGAUGAGAAUAUAAAUUGAAACAGAGAAAACUACAACAAUACAACUUGUACACAUGUCUAGUAAGGUCGGGAUAGGACUAAGUUCAUUCAAAUUUCACAACAAAAGUCGUAUUCAUCCUCUAGCAUUUAUUUAGUC
Molecule: long non-coding RNA, 1028 nt
Filed under: Olea europaea subsp. europaea
Lineage: Eukaryota; Viridiplantae; Streptophyta; Magnoliopsida; Lamiales; Oleaceae
Source: RNAcentral